Zootermopsis nevadensis is the source of this 572-nucleotide non-coding RNA. The record is from RefSeq and is a predicted model, not a curated record. Lineage: Eukaryota; Metazoa; Arthropoda; Insecta; Blattodea; Termopsidae.
AUUUUUUUGUCGAAUUUGAAACGUCCGCUAAUCGUCCCGUUUGAUGUGAUUAAUAUCAAAUACGAGACUCUGCAGAUGCGAGGAAUGUGAAGCAGAUGGCUCAGAUUAAUACGAGAAUCACUGAAGACAGACGUGUUCGUAGUUGUCGCCGUGAGAAUCUGAAAUCUGAUUCGGUGCAAUAGGCAGACCCCAGCCAGGAAACGUUUGAGGAAGGCUGGUGGGGAGAGACAGACAGAUAAGAGGAACAAGUGGUAUUAUGAAGAAUGGUAAAGGAGGGUGGAAUCAAAGGUUAAGUCUAACUAACGUUUUUCACGUAACAGUGGAGUUCAAAGAGGGUACUUGAGGAGGAAAGGGUUUGGAGGAAGCAGUGUUCGUAAAUAGGGUGAGGUUUGUUGGGGUGUGGGUGAAACAGGUUAGGGUCAAGGCUAAAUCAGACAGGUCUUGUGAUGGUGAAGGUGCUGGAACGCUCAGAUGAAGCAUGAAAUCUAGUAUCUCAUUUGGGUGUUAGUAGUGAAUGUGUAAUUUUUGUACUGCCUUGCUGAGUAACAUUAAAGUUCACCGUUUCCGCUUAA